RNAcentral lists this non-coding RNA (21 nucleotides) under Arabidopsis thaliana (thale cress). Lineage: Eukaryota; Viridiplantae; Streptophyta; Magnoliopsida; Brassicales; Brassicaceae. The record is from RNAcentral.
UACCAGGUGUGGUACCAGUGC